CAGGCACUCAGGCCACCAUCUUAUAUCUCAAUCUGUGUAAAUGAACACAGUACAGUAAACUGAAAGCGAAUUAACAUCUUUCCACUGGUAAAAUCCCAGCUGUGUGUUUCUUCUUUAUUAUCUAGCUCGCUAUAUUGUUAUUUCUAUUUAAUUUGCGCUGUUUCGUGUUUGUAUUGUGCCAUUCAUUGGCAGAAAUUUACCCCAUUUGAGCAAUUUAAAAGAGCCAAUUGAGUAUCACUUCACGACUGAGGCUUAAGUCUAGUCUGAAAGAAACUGUGUCACCCAAUAGCGUGGGCUUCAUUGUGUCUCUGAAAGGCCUAAGUGGCGCGCUGGUUAUUGUCUUCUUUAAAGGGGAGUCGGGUUACUGUGGCAACUACAGGAUGCCGACCACCAGGCCCUGAGACAGCGAGAGAAGGGGGAAAGAAAGUGAAACAAAAACGGAGGCAAAACGCUUCCAGGCCCCAGCUUUAUUUUCUUUUUUUUUUGUAGGAGUUUUUGGGAGGCCGAGGCCUGCAAGUGGGCCAGGGUGAAGACCAGAGGAGCUUCCUGUGAACAGAGGGUCAUGCAUGUUGCGCUGCGGCCUCGCAGCGGCUGCCUGCUACUGUGUCUGUGUCUGUCGGUGCUGACCAUGCUGCUGCAGAACCUCUGGAUGCCUCUCGACAUUACCCGAGAUGAUGCGACCGGAAGGUCACCUCAAGAACAAGGUCAGCGUGGCCACACAUUCCAUAGGUUGGCUGUUCGCUUGGAGGCUUUGAGCACUCAGGUGCAGAGGCUGAGCAGAGAGAGAGAUAAGAGUCAGCUGACGGGAAACCACCUGAGCCUGCUGCUGCAGGGGUAUUCCGCACUUACCCUUCAUACACCGUGGAGACGCUGUCUCAUGGCGGACGUUCAUGCAGUGUGUUGCUGCAUGUGUUUUUGUCUUCCAGCUUCAGGCGGAACCAACAAGGCUUGGCUCAGUUAGUAGAAAAAGAGCUGAAGAAAGUGUCACAGCAACUGGACACGCUCAGCCGCCUCCAUCACCCCGAAUCCCACAUGCUGUCCCCUCUUGAUGCCCUCAACCUGCGCACAGGUGAAGCCCUGAUUCUCUAUCUUCUUAAAAACAGCUCCCAAGGGUGAGGACAAAGCACCUGGAUUGCCCUCUAGUGGCUGGCUAGUGAAAUGGAAGAAGCCCGCUUGGUUUUUAUUUGACACCCAACAUUUUUCACAACACAAUUUAUAUCCGAUACAAUGUGAAGAUCCACUCGUCAUUUAGAUGCUGGUUGACAGACAGCAAGAUGGCGGCAGUCAGUGUUGUCUGUUCAAUAAUCGGCUAAUAUUAGUUUAUUCUGUUGCUGGCUGUCAUGGUUGAUUGACAUUCUGUGCGAAAUACAUGGUUCAAAUACUCACUAAACGUUAACUACACAGUGAAAUUAACAAGCUGUGAUAAUGGAGGCAAAUGGGAGGGCGGUCAAAGGGCAUUGGGUGCAGGUGGUUAUGGGGGAUGGAGUCCUUGAAUAGAAGUUUAACAAGCCCCAUAGAAUGACGGUUGAUCAACCGGCUCUGGGGAGAAAAAAAGAGUUGACAUCUAUAAGGUGACCCUCAGGUAAGAGUCAGCAUGCACAUCGGGUUAGCACAUAAGGGUCAGUUUGUGCGUGCGUGCGUGUGUGUGUGUGUGUGUGUGGAGAUUGGUGGUGAUGGGUUUUCUUCCCUGAAAAAUGGACACAUGGCCUGUGUCUGUAUGACCUCUUCCCUGAAAAAUGGACACAUGGCCUGUGUCUGUAUGACCUACAGUACACACACACACACACACCACCCACAUGCACGCAAACAGACACCUGCCCGUCAGCAGCCUGUCCUCCUCCCACCCACCUCUGGCAUUACCUCACACCCAUAAAACACAGCUGAAUUACCCAGGAGUCCUUUCACUACGGUGUCGACUUAGUCUCUUGUUUUUGCUGAGGGAGGCACUUUUUUUAAGAUGCGUGUCUAUUAUAUGUCACUCUCUUCAUGCUUUCACACCUGAGCUAUGCCAUUUGGGUUUUUUCUGUUUUACUAGGUUGUUUUAUAAAGUUAAAUAUUGUAUCUUUUGGCAUGGGCUAGCAUUGUAAAAGGGUAUGUUUGGUAGGAGGCAGGUUGGUCAAGUGUGUGUCUGUGUGUGCAUUUCAGAUGAUUGACACUGGGAGUAGAUGGUGGGGGUGCUCACAGGAAACGGCCUCUGAGAACACAU
This 2206-nucleotide long non-coding RNA is filed under the name Takifugu rubripes (torafugu). RNAcentral describes it as "lncRNA (ENSTRUG00000030072.1)". The record is from RNAcentral. Lineage: Eukaryota; Metazoa; Chordata; Actinopteri; Tetraodontiformes; Tetraodontidae.